UUUCCGUAGGUGAACCUGCGGAAGGAUCAUUCAUAAUAAAGUGUUUUAUGGCACUUUUUAAAAAUCCAUAUCCACCUUGUGUGCAAUGUUAGAUCUCGUCAAUCUUGGCGAGAUUUUUAUACAUCAACUCAUUCUUUAACUAAUUUGUCUGAAAAAUGUUAUGAAUACUUAAUUCAAAAUACAACUUUCAACAACGGAUCUCUUGGCUCUC
This 211-nucleotide unclassified non-coding RNA is filed under the name plant metagenome. RNAcentral's name for it is "partial contains small subunit ribosomal RNA, internal transcribed spacer 1, and 5.8S ribosomal RNA". The record is from RNAcentral.